This 324-nucleotide ribosomal RNA is filed under the name uncultured Bacteroidota bacterium. RNAcentral's name for it is "bacterial SSU rRNA". It matches the Rfam family "Bacterial small subunit ribosomal RNA", at positions 28 to 351 of the family's 1533-position model. Lineage: Bacteria; Pseudomonadati; Bacteroidota. The record is from RNAcentral.
GAUGAACGCUAGCGGCAGGCCUAACACAUGCAAGUCGAGGGGUAACAGGGUAGCAAUAUCGCUGACGACCGGCGCACGGGUGAGUAACGCGUAUGCAACCUUCCUUUAACUGGGGAAUAGCCCGGAGAAAUUCGGAUUAAUACCCCAUAAUAUCAUUGAGAGGCAUCUUUUGAUGAUUAAAGCUCUGGCGGUUAAAGAUGGGCAUGCGUGCCAUUAGCUAGUUGGUGAGGUAACGGCUCACCAAGGCUACGAUGGCUAGGGGGUCUGAGAGGAUGAUCCCCCACACUGGUACUGAGACACGGACCAGACUCCUACGGGUGGCUG